CUUUGUCACUUUGAUUAAUAUCAAUAGUAAUUGUACAAAUAUGUAGAAAAUUAUCAACAUAAGUAAACACUAAAGUCAAAGUUGGAAAAAGGGGUAAAAGAGGUUAAAAAAACAAACAAACUAGACCACCUCAUCAUCCUCGAGAAACUCAACCAGACAACGCGUCUCCAAAAAAGAACUUAUUUUCUUUUCUAGAGAAUCUAACAACUUAUGCAAGUACUUUUCACCUGACCUUCUUACAGAGAUCUGAAAACUCGUAGUACAAAAUUCCCAAAACUAUACCAAAACUUGGGCUAAUCUAUCUAUGCUACCUAUUUUUUUUCACAAAAUUAAUCUCUACAUAUGAUUACAUCAAAUCACAAGGUUGAAAUUUUUUUUGCUUUUUUUUGCAUAAUAUCUUCAUUGUAAGCAAUGGUAAUAUCUUGUGCAAUUUUAAUAGCAUCAGCAGAAGCACCUGAUAGUCCUCUUCUUGUGAAACCAACUGCAUAUAGCCCAGAUUUUCCUUUCCAACUAUUUGGAAAUGGUGCUUUUGGGAAUCCAUUUUUGGAAAAGAAUUCACUUUCCUUUAGCCAAAAAGGAACAUUGCUACAAUAGCCAGUAGCAAGAAGAACAGAAUCGAUUUCGAGUUUUUCACCAUUGACAAGCUCAACGGUGCCACAUGAAAACCUCUUGAUUCCUGGGACAACAUUGAUUUUUCUUGAUCUAAUUUUUUCCAAUGCACCAAUGUCCAAAACAGGAGUUUUCCCUUGUGUGUUCUUGAGUUCCAAAGGUCCAAUUUUUGGCCUUUUUAGCCCAUAUUUCUCAAUGUUACCAAGAAUAAACCAUGUCAAAAUUAGUAAAAUUUUGUCAACUAGCCACAAUGGUAACCAUUUCAUCAUCAACAUAGCCAAUUCAAAUAUUGAUUUCCCAAAUAUUUCUCUUGGCAAUACAUGAACCGAGCUACGACAAACCAAUGAUGUUUGAGCAUUAUGAUUGCAAAGAUCAAGAGAAACUUCCAUGCCAGAAUUUCCACAACCAACAACAACAACUUUCUUCCCACUGAACUUUUCACCAGACUUAUAAUCACAAGCAUGAAUAACUUCACCUCCAAAUUCUUUCAAUCCUUCAAUAUUUGGCACAACUUUUUCAGCAUUUUCCCCUGUUGCCACAACAAGCCAUUGACAAAUAUACUCAACUUCUAAUCCAUUUGGUGAAAUAGUUUUCACCCUCCACAAUUUACAAAUUUUGUCAUAUUUUGCAAGUUGAACACACUCAUUGAACAUUGGAUUUAUGUCAAAUCUUUUAGCAUAUGAUUCAAGAUAAUCA
RNAcentral lists this unclassified non-coding RNA (1305 nucleotides) under Hevea brasiliensis (rubber tree). The record is from RNAcentral. Lineage: Eukaryota; Viridiplantae; Streptophyta; Magnoliopsida; Malpighiales; Euphorbiaceae.